Small nuclear RNA from Phodopus roborovskii (desert hamster), 187 nucleotides. RefSeq annotates it as U2 spliceosomal RNA. NCBI's taxonomy places the organism in Eukaryota, Metazoa, Chordata, Mammalia, Rodentia, Cricetidae. The record is from RefSeq and is a predicted model, not a curated record. The transcript has a single exon.
AUUGUUUCUCGGCCUUUUGGCUAAAAUCAAGUGUAGUAUCUGUUAUCAGUUUAAUGUCUUAUGUAUGAUCUAGCCAAGGAGAGUAUGAUACAUGGAUUGUUGGAGCUAAGAGAUUUAAUAGGAGCAGUUUCUGUCCACCCCACACAUCAACCUGGUAUUGCAGUUCCUCCAGAAUAGUGUACCGCGC